GAGCACUCGGUCUAGGGGUAUAAUUUUCGCUUCGCAUUGCCAUAUGAUGCGCCUUGUGAAAGGUCACCGGUUCGAAUCCAGUAUUGUCCA
This is a non-coding RNA of Bombardia bombarda, 90 nucleotides long. Lineage: Eukaryota; Fungi; Ascomycota; Sordariomycetes; Sordariales; Lasiosphaeriaceae. The record is from the annotation of a GenBank genome assembly.